Non-coding RNA from Oryctolagus cuniculus (rabbit), 7547 nucleotides. NCBI's taxonomy places the organism in Eukaryota, Metazoa, Chordata, Mammalia, Lagomorpha, Leporidae. The record is from RefSeq and is a predicted model, not a curated record.
CAAACAUUCCAAGGUCAGAUUGGAUGAGCAGAGGCAACGCCGCACAGCCUGGGUGUCUCUUGGAGAUCACAAAGUAUAUUUUUAGUGAUAGUGUCUAAAAGGGUGAUUUUUCCUACUAACAAAUCCAGCAAAUAGGGAGGGAGUGAAGAGAACCCGAGUUCUCCCAUCUACUUGCAGAGGAGACACCGGCAUGCCAGUGCAAGCCACAGGCGGGUAGAUCUAAUUGAAGGUGGGUUAUGACCUUGGGAGAGCAGAGAAGACUUUGUAGUUGACAGGUGGUACCUGAGGCACUGCGUCUGAGCCCCACAUACAGCACAGUCCAGCUCCGCAGGACAAGAGGAACCAACUUGACAACAGAGAAUGGCGUCUCUGAAGAGAGGACAAACAGUAACAGGUAGAGACUGAUUUCCUCUCGUUGCUAAGGCUAUGAUGACGCUGUCUCAAUGAUCAGGUAGGCUCAAUGUGACCUGAACCAGGUAUGUUCAAUGUAAUGGGGACUGGGUAUUGUUGAUAUGAUGGGGAUAAGGUAUUUUCAUUCCGAUGAUGGGAUGAGUUAUGAUCAACGGGACCUGGAUGACAUACACUCAACUAAUAGCAACCAGGUGAGCACCAUGUGACCUGGACCAAGUAUAAUCAAUGUGAUAUGCACCAAGUUUACUCAAUAUGAUGGAGGCCAAAUACAAUCAUUGUGAUCUGCACCAGGAAUACUCAAUGUCAAGGACAUCAGGUGUGGUCAGUGUGACCUGACCUGGACAUGUAAACUCUGAGGGACCAGGUGAGUUCAGUGUGGUGUGUCCUGGACAUGUUGACUCUGAGGGGACCAAGUGUGGUCUGUGUGACCUAGCCUGGAAAUGUUAACUCUGAGGGACCAGGUGAGCUCAGUGUGGUGUACACUGGACAUGUUAUCUCUGAGGGGACCAGGUGAGCUCAGUGUGCCUAUGCCUGGACAUGUCAACUCUAACAGGACCAGGUGAGCUCAGUGUGAAAUAGCCUGGACAUGUUAAUUCUGAGGGAUCAGGUGAGCUCAGUGUGGUGUGUCCAGGACAUAUUGGUUCUGAGGGGACCAGGUAAGCUCAGUGUGGUGUGUCCGGGACAAGUUCACUCUGAGGGAUCAGGUGAGUUCAGUGUGAGAUGGACUGGACAUGUUAAUUCUGAGGGGACCAGGUGUGCUUCUUGUGACCAGGCCUCGACAUGUAAACUCUGGGGACCAGGUGAGCUCAGUGUGGUGUGUCCUGUACAUGUUGACUCUGAGGGGACCAGGGAAACUCAGUGUGGUGUGUCCUGGACAUGAUAACUCUGAGGGGACCAGGUGAACUCAGUGUGGUGUGUCCGGGACAUGUUAACUCUGAGGGGACCAGGUGAACUCAGUGUGGUGUGUCCGGGACAUGUUAACUCUGAGGGGACCAGGUGAGCUCCUUGUGACCAGGCCUGGACAUAUUAACUCUGGGGGACCAGGUGAGCUCAGUGUGGUGUGUCCUGAACAUGUUAACUCUGAGGGACCAGGUGAGCUCAGAGUGAGAUGGCCUGGACAUGUUAAUUCUAAGGGGACCAGGUGUGCUCAUUGUGACCAGGCCUGGACAUGUUAAUUCUGAGGGACAAGGUGAGCUCAGUGUGGUGUGUCCAGGACAUGUUGGCUCUGAGGGAACCAGGUAAGCUCAAUGUGGUGUGUCCGGGACAUGUUCACUCUGAGGGGACCAGGUGUGCUCCUUGUGACCAGGCCUGGACAUGUUACCUCUGAGGGGACCAAGUGAGCUCAGUGUGACCAGACCUAGACAUGUUAACUCUGAAGGACCAGAUGAGCUCAGUGUGGUGUGUCCUGACAUGUUCACUCUGAGGGGACCAGGUGUGCUCAGAGUGGUGUGUCCUGGACAUGUUAACUCUGAGGGACCAGGUGAGCUCAGUGUGCCUAGGCCUGGACAUGUUAACUCUGAGGGGACCAUGUGAGCUCUGUUUUUGUUCUGGACAUGUUAACUCUGAAGGACCAGGUGAGCUCAGUGUGGUGUGUCCUGGACAUGUGAACUCUGAGGGGAUCAGUUCUGCUCAAUGUGGUGUGUCCUGGACAUGUUAACUCUGAGGGACCAAGUGCGUUCAGUGUGGAAUGACUGACAUGUUAACUGGGAAGGACCAGGUGAGCUUAGUGUGGUGUGUCCAGGACAUGUUAACUCUGAGGGGACCAGGUGUGCUCAGUGUGAUGUGUCAAGACAUGUUAACUCUGAGGGACCAGGUGAGGUCAGUUGGUGUGUCCUGUAUAUGUUAACUCUGAGGGGAACAGGUGUGCUCAGUGUGAACAGGCCUGGACAUGUUAACUCUGAGGGGACCAGGUGAGCUCAGAGUGGUGUGUCCUAGACAUGUUAUCUCUGAGGGACCAGCUGUGCUCAGUGUGACCAGGCCUGGACAUGUUAACUCUGAAGGACCAGGGGAGCUCAGUGUGGUGCGUCAAGACAUGUUAACUCUGAGGGACCAGGUGAGGUCAGUUGGUGUGUCCUGUAUAUGUUAACUCUGAGGGGAACAGGUGAGCCCAGUGUGACCAGGCCUGGUGUUAACUCUGAAAGACCAGGUGAACUCAGUUGGUGUGUCCUAUAGAUGUUAACUCGGAGGGGACUAGGUGUGCUCAGUGUGACCAGGCCUGGACAUGUUAACUCUGAAGGAACCAGGUGAGCUCAGUGUGGUGUGUCAAGACAUGUUAACUCUGAGGGGACCAGGUGAGCUCACUGUGAUAUAUACUGGACAUGUUAUCUCUGAGGGGACCAGGUGAGCUCAGUGUGCCUAUGCCUGGACAUGUUAACUCUAACAGGACCAGGUGAGCUCAGUGUGAAAUAGCCUGGACAUGUUAAUUCUGAGGGAUCAGGUGAGCUCAGUGUGGUGUGUCCAGGACAUGUUCACUCUGAGGGGACCAGGUGUGCUCCUUGUGACCAGGCCUGGACAUGUUAACUCUGAGGGGACCAAGUGAGCUCAGGGUGACCAGGCCUAGACAUGUUAACUCUGAAGGACCAGAUGAGCUCAGUGUGGUGUGUCCUGACAUGUUAACUCUGAGGAGAACAGUUCUGCUCAAUGUAGUUUUUCCUGGAAAUGUUAACUCUGAGGAAGUAGCUGAGCUCAGUGUGGUGUGUCCUGGACACGUUAACUCUGAGGGGAACAGGUGAGCUCAGAGUGGUGUGUCAAGACAUGUUAACUCUGAGGGAUCAGGUGAGCUCAGUGUGCCUAGGCCUGGACAUGUUAACUCUGAGAGGACCAUGUGAGCUCAGUGUUUUGUGUCCUGGACAUGUUAACUCUGAAGGACCAGGUGAGCUCAGUGUGGUGUCCUGGACAUUUUAACUCGAAGGACCAGGUGAGAUCAGUGUGUUGUGUCCUGGACAUGUUAACUCUAUGGGACCAGGUGAUCUCAUUGUGACCAGGCCUGGCAAGUUAACUCUGAGGGACCAGAUGAGCUCAGUGUGGUGUGUCCUGGACAUGUUAACUCUGAUGGGACCAAGUGAGCUCAGUGUUGUGUGUCCUGACAUGUUAACUCUGAAGGACAAGGUGAGCUCAGUGUGUUGUGUUUGGACAUGUGAACUCUGAGGGGAUCAGUUCUGCUCAAUGUGGUGUGUUCUGGACUUGGUAACUCUGAGGCACCACGUGUGCUCAGUUGGUGUGUCCUGGACAUGUUAACUCUGAGGGGACCAGGUGAGUCAGUGUGGUGUGUCCUGGACAUGUUGACUCUGAAGGAUCAGGUGAGUUCAGUGUGACCAGGCCUGGACAUGGUAACUCUAAGGACCAGCUGAGCUCAGUGUGACCUGUCGUAGACAUGUUGACUCUGAGGGGAACAAGUGAGCCUACUGUGGCCAGGCCUGGACAUGUUAACUCGGAGGGUCCUAGUGAGCUCAGUGUGCUGUGUCCUGUACAGGUUAUCUCUGAGGAGACCACGUGAGCUCAGUGUUUUGUUCCUGGACAUGUUAUCUCUGAGUGGAACAUGUGAACUAAGUGUAUUGUGUCCUGGACAUGUUAUAUCAGAGGGGAACUUGUGAGCUCAGUGUUUUGUGUCCUGAGAUGUUAACUCUGAAGGACCAGGUGAGCUCAGUGUGACCAGGCCUGGACGUGUUAACUCGGAGGGUCCUAGUGAGCUCAGUGUGGUGUAUCCUGUACUGGUUAUCUCUUAGGGGACCCUGUGAGCUGAGUGUGGUGUGUCCUGGACAUGUUAUCUCUGAGGGCAACAUGUGAGCUCAGUUUCGUGUCCUGAACAUGUUACCUCAGGUGAGCUCAGUGUGGUGUGUCCUGGACAUGUUAACUCUGAGGGCACCAUGUGAGCUCAGUGUGGUUUGGACUGGACAUGUUAACUCUGCGGGACCAGGUGUGCUCCGUUUACUGCUCAGACCUGCUUUCUUUGAUGGGAUGGGGUAGUGAUGUCUACGUUUAAUGGUGACCUUGUAAGUUCUAUGUGACGUUGACCUACUGUGCUCAGUGACAUGACACCUGGACCAGACACGCUCAGUGUGACCGGAACCAGGUAUGUUCAAUGUAGUGGGUACUGGGUAUUGGUCAUGUGAUGGAGAUAAGGUAUUUUCAUUCCGAUGAUGGGAUGUGGUAUGAUCAAUGUGACCUGGAAGAGAUAUGCUCCAUGUGAUGGGGCCCAGGUUUUUUCAGUGUGAGGGACCCAGGUGUGUGCCAUGUUCAUUGUAUGGUAAGUGCAAUCUGAGGAGGACCAGCUGUGCUCAGUGACAUGACACCUGGACCAGAUACGUUCCGUGUGACCUGAACCAGGUAUGUUUAAUAUGACAAGAAGCAAGAAGGCUCGGUGUGAUGGAUACCAGGUAUGCUCUGUGUCAGAGGUAUCAGGGGACCUGCAUGUUCAAUGUGACCUGGACCAGGCAUGCUCCAUGUGACCUGGGCCAGGCAAGUCCCAUGUGAUGGGGAGCAGGUAUGUUCCACGUUGCCCGGGCCAGUUAGCUUCAGCCUGAUGUGGACCAGAUGUGCUCAGUGUGGUGGUGACCAGGUAUGCUCAAUAGCAUGGGGCUAGCUUUGCUAGAUGUAUUUAAGGUGAUGGGAGCCUGUUGUGCUGGGUGUGACCUGGAGCAAGUGUGUUGUGGACCAGCACGCUCACUGCAAUGGGAGCCAGGUACACUCGGUGUGAACUGGGCCAGGUAGUUCCAUCUGGUAGGGACCGGGUGUAUGCAGUGUGACCGGCAGCAGGUCUGUGAAUUUGAUGAGGGUGAUGCAUAACAACUAUGCCCAAUGCAACCUGGACCAGGUAUGUCCAGCAAAUGGGGCCCAGCUAUCCCUAACUGGAUGAGAAUCGAGGAUGUUCAAAGUGACCCGUAACAGGUAAGUUUAAUGUCACCUGAACCAGUCACUCCCAAUGUGACGGCGACCAGGUGGACUCCACAUGUCCUGAACCAGAUCUGCCCACAUGACAUGAAUCAGGUAUGUUUGAUGUGACAGGGACCAGGCAUGCUCAGUAGGACCUAGACCUGGCAUGUUUGACGUGAUGGGACCAAGGUAUGAUCAAUGUGAUGGGGCCCAGGACAAGAGCCUGGUGUGCUCAAGGUGACCUCGAUGGGGUGAGUUCAACAUGAUGGGACUAGGUGUCCUCCGUGUCAAGGGGAUCAGGUGUGGUCCACGUGACCUGGAGCAGGUGUGUUCAGUAUGACGGGGACUGCUUUUGCUCAGUGUGAUGGAGAGCAGGUGCACUCAGUGUGAUGGGGACCAGGUGUGCAGUAUGUGGUAGGGAUCACGUAUGUCCAAUAUUACCUGGACCAGGUACGCUCAACACGAUGGGAGCCUGCUAUGCUCAAUGCGAUGGGAAGCAGGUGUGCUCCAUGUGACUUGAAUCAGGUAUGUUCAACAUGCCAGGGAUGAGAUGCGUUCAGUGUAACACAGACCACGUAUGCUCAACGUACAGGGCUCAGACAUGCUCACUGUUAACUGGACCGUUAUGAGGAGAGCCAGUUUUUCUCAAUGCGAUGGCAGCCAGGGAUACGCAAUAUGCUGGAGGUCAGUUAUGUUCAACAUGACCUGGAGCAGGUGUGUUCUGUGUGAGCUGGCCCUGGUAUGCUCGAUGGGAUGGGGGCCAGGUGUGCCCAAGCACUCGCUGGGGCCUGAAGCCACCACAGCAGCCAAGGGAGUGUCCCGUGAACACUCAGCAUCAGAGGACGGACAGGAGCUGGUGACCUGGAGCGCUGUUCGGGGAUGCUUCACUCGUCCAUGGUCUUCUAUUCAAACAGGUAAUUCUACAGUUCUUCUCAAGGUUUCUUGGGUCCCGAAUGAGUGGGUUUCUCAGAGGAAGGGUGUCCUUGGGUUGAUGCAGCCCUAGGAGUUACCUUUGCAAGACAAUGCACUCCCUGGAAGCCAUCGCCUCUGUGGGGUGUGUGUGUGUGUGUGUGUGUGUAUACACGUGAAUGUACCUGAACCCUGGGCACAUGCCUCCCUAACCCACAUGCACCUGUGCCCGCAUGGCAGCUGCACCUGGUAUUUGCUCAGGGUGCACCUCUUCCUCUGUCGUCCCCAUUAUAAACUGGAGUUUAUGGCUCCUUCCAUCUGCAUAUGGAGCAGCCGACACGGGCCCCUCCUCAUGGUGGCUGGCACAAGCCAGCAGCCUCAACUGGAGAAACGAGAAACAGAAAAGGGUCUUCUGCAUGAUGCCGUGGGACACCACUAGGAUUCUCCCCCCCUCUCAAAGCUGUAGUACUGUUGUCAGGGGGAAGAAUCCAGAAGGAAGAAAGGGCUUGGUCACAGACAGACGCCUUGCGGGCUCUGCAUAGGCAUCGCCAGCUGCUCAGCCGCUGAAGUCGCUUGUUCCCCCAAGAAAGCCCUGGGCUGCGUAUUACCUAGAAAGUUCCAGGAGCGACAGGAGGAUCCGAAUGGCUCGUCGGAAAGGUGAAGCCACAGAGCCCUGGAGCUUCCAGGCACUCUGCCAGGUGCUCCCCUGUGGUGUGGACGCGUUCCCUGCCGACCUCCAAUUCCUGCCCAGCUGCGUGCUGCCUGCACCCUUGCCUCCCCCGGGCCCGCCCGGCCCUCGCUCCCCAUGUUCCCAAGGCUGCCGCCGUCUGAGUGUUUUCCCAGCAUCAGAGGGUGAUGGAGAGGCUGGGGGCCAGCUGCCAAGAAAGCAUUCGAGCUUUGCUUUCCUAUUUCGCUUCUCUCCCGGCCCAGCAGCCAGGGAAGUGUGUUUUCUGGAAAGAAGUCAACUGCCAGAGACUGCUCUAACCACACGGGGAGGGGAGGAGCUGCGGGCUCGGCCCAGGUGCCCAGGGACUGCCUCCUGCCAGCCCUGCCCUCUGCACAUCUUUGGAUGAGAUGAGACCCGUGAAACAGGAAUCGUUCUCUCCGUUUCAAAGAUUGGAGAGUAGAGGCACACAAGCGAGUAGACAGCGCACCCCACAGCGCUGAGCUGGAGCCCCACAGAGAAGGGACGAGCUCCAGGCCCAGCCCUCUCCAAAGCUGGGUUGUUGCGGCCACACCAUGCUGUUGUCGGAAGAAGGAAGGGGACAGCGAGUGGAAGAGAAAGGACCACACCAACCCCAGCUCCUUCAGUACCGCCUGGCCACGUGCAGCGGGAUGCACAUCUUUAAAAUGAA